GGACCGGUCAGGACUGUACGUGUAACACUGGGUAUGAGGGAGAUGGGUACACAUGUACAGAUAUCGAUGGCUGCGAUCCCAACCCGUGCGAUGCCAACGCUGCCUGUGCAGACGUCGCAGCUCCUGGGACCGGUCAGGACUGUACGUGUAACACUGGGUAUGAGGGAGAUGGAUACAUUAUUUGUACAGAUAUCGAUGGAUGUGCUGGCGAC
Branchiostoma floridae (Florida lancelet) is the source of this 212-nucleotide long non-coding RNA. RefSeq lists it as uncharacterized. The record is from RefSeq and is a predicted model, not a curated record. Lineage: Eukaryota; Metazoa; Chordata; Leptocardii; Amphioxiformes; Branchiostomatidae. The transcript is spliced from 3 exons.